AUAAAUUUUCCGUCUCAUAUAAGCCUGUGCAGUCUGCACAUGGUAAUCAGGAACAACACUUUCUGCUUUAAUAGAAGUUUUUUUGUAAAGGAAGUCGUUUUCGAAAUGAAAAUCAAUGCUAGGCAGAAAGUAACGUCCCAUGGGGAUUUUAUUUUUUCCUAAAAAUUCAUAAAAAUUUUAGAAGUGUUUUCAAUAGUGUAUUUUCUAAGGUUCAACCCAUAAAGCUGCAUAUGUAAAUUGACCAAAUAUUGCAUUUAAUUACAAAAAAUAAGACAUUUCUGGAAACCUUCAAAAGAAAAUUUAGGCAGUCAUUUGGGAAAAAUUAUUUACGUUUUGAUAUUUGAAAUGGGGCAAAAUAAUCGCAAAUUUGACAAAAAAAACACCCUGUAUCUCUAUGUCAAAUACUCCAGAUUCAAUAUUAAUUCUUAUAAAUUGCUGCUUCUAUGACGCUGGCCAAGAGCCUGGUGGUGCUGACAGUGCUGUUUGGGGUCCAUUUCAUAAUUGCCACCCUGCAGGCAGAAGCCAUCGACCCCGAGGGCACCGUCUUCUUUAUCCUGCUGAUCAUCGAGAUGUUCUUCAACUCCUACCAGGGACUGUGAAUCGCUGUCCUCCUCUGCUUCACCAAAUCUGAUGUUCGUUCUAAGGUUAAGAAGUCUUGGAGUAGGAUAAGCAUGCGACGGUCGAGUGCCGUAUUCCGCACGAGUUUUCUGAAUACCCGCAGGUCGUUCAGUAUAGCAACGAAAACAUCAGAAGUCAGUAAUUUGAAUUCUGCGCAUAAACGUUACACGAUAGGGUGGAAAUCCUCUGUAACAGACAUUGAACUGACUGUGCCAUUUAAAAACACUCUUGUUGGACCUUGCUGCAGCAUCGAAUGCGACGCUACGGAUACUGACAUGGGUAUGGCCUCGGAAAACAACCUGACCUCCGGCUCAAAAUCAAACGGUCAUUUGGACUUAAAGCCGGACAAGUUUGAACUUAAAAUAAACGUGGUGAACAUUGAGUUUACAAUUCGCGAUGGUUUGAGUCGAAACACGACAGCGUUAGACAUUCAGGCGUUGAAGAAUGGUUGUCCUAUCAGCAGCGAAUAGAUUCUAAGCAAUAACGUGAAAGAGCCUUCCCUUCGAUCAGAAAUGUUGGAUCCUUUGUUUUAUGUGGACAUAAAGGAGACUAAGUAAUGUUAGCCCCUUCUAUAUUUGAUGAUAUAGCGCAAAGAUUCUAAAUAAUAAUUUGAAAGAGCUCUGCCUUCGCUGCGUUCAUCAGAAACCUUGGACCCUUUGUUUUAUGAGGACGACAAUGAGACUAUGCUAUUUAAGUCUCUUCUAUAUUUAAUGUUAUAUUGGGUUUGUGUGCUAUCAUUGUGUAACUUACCACUUUCUGAAAAAACAAAAACAAGUAAUAAAUUGUAGUACGAUAUUACCAGACCAUUCUGACAGUGAUGGUUUUGGGACUUUCGCUGAGACUGAUUGGGUGUUUUAUUUGACUCCGAAUCUUACUAAAAUGUAAUUACUUUUACUAUAAUGGUAUAUUAAAAUAAGGUUUUCUGAAACCACUUGUAAUAUUUCAAAAUAAUACUGCAUCUACACAUUUUUUUAAUUAAAUUAUUUUGAUUGCUGCCAUUGAGGUGUGUAACUUGUGGGCUGUUUUUGGCAUCUUUUUUAUGCUCAUGCAUCCGAGUACCAAGUUUGCGACCUGUUUCUUCUAUGUACACAGUUUCACAAUUCUUGCACGGGAUCUUGUAUACACAGCCACACAUCUCUUCCGUCAGCGUCUUGUCCUUAGGAUGUACGAGAAAGCGUCUGAGAGUACUGUGUGGUUGCAUUGCUACACUUAUGCUGUGCUUUCUGUAGACUCGCGCCAGCGCCUCAGAUACAUUUUUCACAUGAACAGAAGCUGUAUUAAAUAUAUUAUUUAUCUUAAAGCUGUUUAUUAAAAGUAAUCUGCUAUAUAACGGCGUAUGCAGAACAUUUUAGAAAAAAUAUCAUUAAGAGACCAUGUAUUAAAUUAAAAACAAAAACAAAUGAACACUUUAAUAGAUAAGUAAGAAUUGUUAUGUUUAUCAUGACUUUUUAAGAUGACUUUUUGGUUGAGUAGAAUGUUUAAACUGCCUUGAAAAAUUAUUGUUAAGUAAAAUGCACAGCAGAACUUAAUAGAUGAUAUUUUUGCUAUUAUAUAUUGCAAUACUUUCGCAAUAUUGGCAUCUCAAAUUAUUGGUAUUGUAAUGUUGAUUUUUGUGUUAAUUACUGUAUUAAAUGUUUUGUUUUUAAAAAACUGUCGCCAAAAUUGCUUUGUUCAUGAACAUGUAUACAAACUGAUCAUUUUAUCACCAUCAAAUUUGAUAUCCAAAUAAAAUGAUGUUUACCAUGCAGUUUGACAAUCUGUGUACAAUAACUAUAUAAUGUAUAUAGCCAACCUUGAUAUGAGCGUCCGAGAAAACCGGGCGUAAGACAUGUGCUUAAAGUAUGAUCCUAGAUUGGCCUGUGCAGUCCACACAGGCUAACCGAGAACGCAACUUUUUACUUUUAUGGUAUUUUUUGUUUCAAGAAAGUCUCUUUUAGCAAAAAUGCUGUUUAUGCGGAUAGUUGCGGAGGGCGGAUGCUAAUCUGGGCUCACUUAUGUUACGUAACGAAUGUGUGUUAUGAGUUGGUUGUUUUUUAUGUUUUGUGUAUUCUAUUAAAACAAGAGAAAACCUU
Long non-coding RNA from Dreissena polymorpha, 2690 nucleotides. RefSeq lists it as uncharacterized. The transcript has 2 exons. NCBI's taxonomy places the organism in Eukaryota, Metazoa, Mollusca, Bivalvia, Myida, Dreissenidae. The record is from RefSeq and is a predicted model, not a curated record.